GCCUGGCUAGCUCAAUCGGUAGAGCGUGAGACUCUUAUUACAUCUCAAGGCUGUGGGUUCAAGCCCCACGUCGGGCU
This 77-nucleotide transfer RNA is filed under the name Yarrowia sp. B02. RNAcentral describes it as "tRNA-Lys". It matches the Rfam family "tRNA". From Rfam's summary of the family: Transfer RNA (tRNA) molecules are approximately 80 nucleotides in length. Their secondary structure includes four short double-helical elements and three loops (D, anti-codon, and T loops). Lineage: Eukaryota; Fungi; Ascomycota; Dipodascomycetes; Dipodascales. The record is from RNAcentral.